Ribosomal RNA from Gopherus agassizii (Agassiz's desert tortoise), 132 nucleotides. The record is from Ensembl. NCBI's taxonomy places the organism in Eukaryota, Metazoa, Chordata, Testudines, Testudinidae.
GCUAAAGCCAAGUGCUGCAUGGGUGCUGCCUGGGGCUGUGUGGACUUGACAGGUCUCACCAGCUAAGCAGGCUUGUGCCUGGUCAGUACUUUAAUGGGAGAACUGCAGGAGAAAUCAUGGGUGCUUCUGGCU